RNAcentral lists this ribosomal RNA (497 nucleotides) under uncultured bacterium. RNAcentral's name for it is "partial 16S ribosomal RNA". It matches the Rfam family "Bacterial small subunit ribosomal RNA", at positions 28 to 507 of the family's 1533-position model. The record is from RNAcentral.
GACGAACGCUGGCGGCGUGCCUAAUACAUGCCAGUAGAACGCUCACUAGAGGAGCUUACUCUUCUUCGGUGAGUUGCGAACGGGUGAGUAACGCGUAGGUACCCUGCCUUGUAGCGGGGGUUAACUUUUUGAAACGAUAGCUAAUACCGCAUAACACUUGCUGACACAUGUCCGGUAUUUGAAAGGUGCACUUGCUCGACUACAAGAUGGACCUGCGUUGUAUUAGCUAGUAGGUGAGGUAAUGGCUCACCUAGGCGACGAUACAUAGCCGACCUGAGAGGGGGAGAGGACACACUGGGACGGAGACACGGCCCAGAACACUACGGGAGGCAGAAGUAGGGGAUCUUCGGCAAUGGGGGCAAUGCGGACCGAGAAACGCCGCGCGCGAGAAGAAGGUUGCCGGAUCGUAAAGGUCGGGUGUAAGUUAAGAACGGGUGUGAGAGUGGAACGUUAACACUGUGACGGUAGCGGACGAGAAAGGGACGGCUAACUACGUG